AGUGAACGCUGGCGGUAGGCCUAACACAUGCAAGUCGAACGGCAGCACAGUAAGAGCCUGCUCUUACGGGUGGCGAGUGGCGGACGGGUGAGGAAUACAUCGGAAUCUACUUUUUCGUGGGGGAUAACGUAGGGAAACUUACGCUAAUACCGCAUACGCCCUACGGGUGAAAGCAGGGGAUCUUCGGACCUUGCGCGAUUGAAUGAGCCGAUGUCGGAUUAGCUAGUUGGCGGGGUAAAGGCCCACCAAGGCGACGAUCCGUAGCUGGUCUGAGAGGAUGAUCAGCCACACUGGAACUGAGACACGGUCCAGACUCCUACGGGAGGCAGCAGUGGGGAAUAUUGGACAAUGGGCGCAAGCCUGAUCCAGCCAUACCGCGUGGGUGAAGAAGGCCUUCGGGUUGUAAAGCCCUUUUGUUGGGAAAGAAAAGCAGCAGGUUAAUACCCCGCUGUUCUGACGGUACCCAAAGAAUAAGCACCGGCUAACUUCGUG
Molecule: ribosomal RNA, 492 nt
Filed under: uncultured bacterium
Lineage: Bacteria
Description: partial 16S ribosomal RNA
Rfam family: Bacterial small subunit ribosomal RNA
Source: RNAcentral